UAAGAUGGUCAUAUGGUUGCGUGGCAUCAAGUCACGAGGAAAGUCCGAGCACCGUACGACAAGGUGCUAGUUAAUUGCUAGUGGAGGCGACUCUAAGGAAAGUGCAACAGAAAAUUACCGCUAUGCAAUGUUAUAUUGUGUAGUAAGGGUGAAAAGGCAGUGUAAGAGACUACCACUGUCUAGGUGACUAGACAGGUUAUGCAAACCCCACUUGGUGCAAGAUGUGAGACAUACAAGUUGUCAGCUUUGUCUCCUAUAUCGCUUGAGCAUACUGGCGACAGUAUGCCUAGAUAGAUAACCAUACAAUACAGAACUCGGCUUAUAGAUCAUGCUUUGGCA
Molecule: RNase P RNA, 339 nt
Filed under: Clostridiales bacterium
Lineage: Bacteria; Bacillati; Bacillota; Clostridia; Eubacteriales
Description: RNase P RNA component class A
Rfam family: Bacterial RNase P class A
About the family: Ribonuclease P (RNase P) is a ubiquitous endoribonuclease, found in archaea, bacteria and eukarya as well as chloroplasts and mitochondria. Its best characterised activity is the generation of mature 5'-ends of tRNAs by cleaving the 5'-leader elements of precursor-tRNAs. Cellular RNase Ps are ribonucleoproteins.
Source: RNAcentral